UUUUUUUGUUUGUUUUGUUUUGUCUUUUUGCCAUUUCUUGGCCCAUUCUCGCGGCAUAUGGAGGUUCCCAGGCUAGGGGUCUAAUCGGAGCCGUAGCCACCAGCCUAUACCAGAGCCACAGCAAUGCGGGAUCCGAGCCGCGUCUGCAAACUACACCACAGGUCACGGCCACGCCGGAUCCUUAACCCACUGAGCAAGGCCAGGGAUCGAACCCACCACCUCAUGGUUCCUAGUCGGAUUCGUUAACCACUGUGCCACGACAGGAACCUGUAUACACUGUUUUUAAAACAUCCUUUUCCAUUAUGGUUUAUCAUAGGACAUUGAAUAUCGUUCUCUGUGCUAUUCAGUAGUCUAGAGUCAAGUUUUAAACUCACACCCAUCUGACUCCAAAGUUUAACCCUCAAUCCUUACAAAGAACUGCAUGUUACAUGCAAACAUAAAUACAACAUGAACAAAUCAGAUUUUUUAAAUGAUCUCAGUAAGAUGGUAAAAUAAUGGAUAAAAUUGAGGGUUCAUUUUUAAUUUUUUCAUAAAGUUGAUUGCAUUCAAGGGUGAGGAUUGUUUCUUACUCUAAUAAAGAAUAUCCCUUCUAUACGAACAAUCAACAUCUUACCAAAUCAUAAAGUAUUUUAGCAGUUAUUUGAGAACAAGGAUGUCUGCUGUAACCAUUUUUAAAAGUUAGUCCUGGAAAUUUGAGUCCUGGAAAUUCAUCCACAUUUAACAACAAUAUUGAGUAUUUAUUUAGUAUGUUCUCUGUGGCAGACACAUGUAUUAGCUGACUCAACUCUCACAAUCACCUUAGUAGGUAGGUACUAUCAUUAUUUCCAUUUUACAGAGGACGAAAUUCAGACACAGAGAACUUAAGUAAUUUGGCCAAGAUAAUGAAAAGAGUUAAUGAGGUCUUGUGCCCAGAGGGGCGCUGGAGCCUCAGCUAAUAACUGAUGCAUCAAAGAAAUGGGGCAAAAAAAAAAAAAAAAUCAAAUUUCUCCUUAUUUGCAAAAGAUGUGAUUUUAUACUGAUAAAUCCCCAAAGAAUCAAUUGAAGGACUAGUGAAAUUAAUGACACUGUUCAGGAAAGUCCUGAGGACCUGAUAAAUAUUCUAAAAUUACCAGCUAUCUUUCUAUUAUUUUAGCAAUGGCCAGUUAGAAAACCGAAUUGGGGGCGGGGAGAGGCAGGAGCCUUAGCAACCUUCACCACAGAUCGAUCUGAGAAUAAUUUGAAUUAUAGGAAAGUUAUUUUGCAGAAAAUUGUAGAAAUUUAUUGAGAAAUCUAAAAGACUUAAAACUAAUAAAGGCAUACGUUGAUUCAGACUGAGAAGCUAGAAGACUAAGAAUAAAUCACUUUGAAAUUGAAAUCAAGUGAAAUUGAAAUAAAUCAAUUUGAAAUUGUCCAAAGUUAGAGUGAGAACUUUUUUAUCUCAAAAUAUGCAAAAAUUCAUCUGAGAAAAAGUAGUACCAAUCCAGAAGCACUGAAACAUGUUUGAGAAGAAAUUGAGACAGGUGGAUUCCAGACACACCACUUUUUAAAAGUAGUGUAGGCUUGUAAAAUAUGCCUCUGUACAGUGCGUAUAUUAUAAAAGUAAUUCACAAAGCAGGGAGAGGAAAGAGAGGGGUUAUUUUAAAAAUGUUGCACCCAGAAUAAUGAAUUAGCUACCUUUAAGAAUCCAGAAAGUAUCUUAGAUUCAGAUGUGAUAUAACAAAAUAAAGUAUAAAGGGAUUAAGGAAGUAAAUAUUUUUAAGUUGAGAUAUUAAAAUUGAAAGGAAAUAGGAUCAGAUAUUCAUAUAUUUAAUAAUAUUUAUGAAAUCCCUAAAUGAGAGAAAACUUUCUCAGUUUAUGUGCAAUGGAAGAAAUCAUAAAGUGACACAAGCAAAGUAGAUCUGGUUCUAAAAUAUUAAAAUUUUAUACUCAAUAUUUUGUAAUAAUCUAAAGGGGAAAGAAUCAGGGAAAGAAUAUCUAUAUAACUGAAGCCCUAUCCUAUAUACCUGAAACUAACACAAUAUUGAAAAUCAACAAGGAUACUUCAAUUAAAAAAAUUAACAUGUUAAAAAAGGAUCUAAAGGCAAACAGACAAAAAACUAGAAAAAAUACGUGGAACACAUAAUUUUUAAAGAUUUUACUUAUUUUUUUUUUUGCAAAAAUUCUUAUGAAAAGCCCUAGCACUCCCCAAAUGAUAAGCUAUAAAAGGCGUGGAACAGACAAUUCACAAACAAUCGAGAAUGAGACCAAAGCUGUAAAUGCAAGGUAGCUCUACCCACUGUGGGUUAUAAAAAUGAAAAGAAUGGAAAACAAUCUAAUUGAAAAACAAAAACUUAAUAAAUUAGGAUGAAGGUAUAGAAUGGGGUGUUUUAUACAGAUAUUUUAAAUUAUGUUUAGGAAAUAUUAAUCUGGGGAAGGCUCAGGUCUGUGAAAAAGUACAAGGCAGUUACAUUUAGCUUGUACUUUAUUGUGUAUAUAUAUAUAUGAUAUACAAUAUGAUCGCAACCCUGUAAAAAGUAAACAUAAAUUAAUGAAUAUUUCUAAGAAAGAAAACUCUGCAUUAUUAGAUUUUCUUGUCUAUUAGUUGAACACUAACUGCCACCCUCAAUUCACCUGAUUUGGUUUCUCCAAAUCCAGAGUAAUUAAUAAUAAUUGUGUAUAUCAAAUAUAGAUUUUUCUCAUGAAUAUAAAUUAUGAAAAUUAAAUUGGGGAUUCUAUUUAAAUUACUUUAUUCAAAAAUGAGAAAUGGAAGAAAAUAUACCUAAAUGUUCACAAAACUAGGUAGUGAAAUGUGGAUGAUUUUUCCAAUGAGGAAAAAAAAACAUAUUUUAAGAGAAUGGAAACAAGCCCAGAAAUUCUGAGUAGCUUAAAUUAGCUUGAGACUAAAUUUAUCUACAUAAAUGUUUUAUUUAACCUCUAAAUUGUAUCUCAUAUUUUCUGGCAUUGAAAGCACAGAAGAUAAAAUGUUGGCAGCUGAUCUAAACUUAGUAAGGAGUAUGAUAAUUUGCCAAGGCAAAGAAAAGAUGCUCACUCUGUAUCUUAAGUUAUAGAAUAGGAAGGCAAAGGCUAUUCAAAACCCUUUUGGUAAGUUCUGUACAAAGAAAUAAUGCACUUCAAUAGAAACAACCUAAAUGUCCAUCAACAGAUGAAUGGAUUAGGAUGUGGUACAUAUACACAAUGGAAUACUACUCAGCCAUAAAGAAGAACACAAUGAUGCCAUUUGUAGCAACAUGGAUGGAGCUAGAGACUCUCAUAGUAAGUGAAGUAAGUUAGAAAGAGAAAGACAAAUACCAUAUGAUAUCACUUAUAUCUGGAAUCUAAUAUAUGGCACAAACGAACCUUUCCACAGAAAAGAAACAAACUCAUGGGCAUGGAGAACAGACUUGUGGUUGCCAAGGGGGAGGGAGAGGGAAUGGGAUAGACUGGGAGUUUGGGGUUAGUAGACGCAGACUAUUGUCCUUGGAGUGGAUAACAAUGAGCUCCUGCUGUAUAGCACAGGGAACUGUAUCUAAUCACUUGUAAUGGAAUAUGAUAGAGGAUAAUGUGAAAAAAGAAUAUAUAUAUGUAUGUAUAUAUGGGUCUCUUUGCUGUAUAGCAGAAAUUGACAGAACAUUGUAAAUCAACUAUAAUAAUUUUUUUAAAAAAAGAAAAAAUUAGAAAUAAUACACGGAGUUCCUGUUGUGGUGCAGUGGAAAAAUGAAUCCGACUAGUAUCCAUGAGGAUGUGGGUUUGAUCCCUGGCCUCAUGGUUAAUGGAUCCG
RNAcentral lists this long non-coding RNA (3736 nucleotides) under Sus scrofa (pig). RNAcentral's name for it is "lncRNA (ENSSSCG00060057605.1)". The record is from RNAcentral. Lineage: Eukaryota; Metazoa; Chordata; Mammalia; Artiodactyla; Suidae.